RNAcentral lists this ribosomal RNA (1285 nucleotides) under Colubraria nitidula. RNAcentral's name for it is "16S ribosomal RNA". The stretch from base 899 to 1285 matches the Rfam family "Bacterial large subunit ribosomal RNA", at positions 2048 to 2646 of the family's 2925-position model. Lineage: Eukaryota; Metazoa; Mollusca; Gastropoda; Neogastropoda; Buccinidae. The record is from RNAcentral.
AGCUUAUAAUAAAUAUAAAUUUAAUUAAAAUUAUUUUAUUUUUAAAAACAUUUGUAAAUAAAGUAAAGGUGAUUAAAAAUUAUUUUGAAUAUAUUUUGAAUUAAGUACUGUAGAGGAAUUUUAUAAAUUUUUAAUAAGAAAAAAUUAAAUUUUGUACCUUUUGUAUCAUGGUUUAACUAGAUGGUUUACUUUAUAUAAAAAGUUUCUCGAAAUCUAAUGAGCUAUUUUUAUUCUCUGUAUUAGUAUUAUAAAAGGUAAAUUGUAGCCAAAAUUUCUUAAGAAAUAAAAAUAGAAAUGAAAUUUUAUUCGCAUUAGAAUGAUAGCCAGUUCUUUCCAAAAUGUAUAGAAAGGACCAAUAAAUAAUUUCCUUCUCCUAUAACAAAAUAAUAAGACNAGGUUUUAUUCGGUUAAAUUUUUAGGGAUAAGCUUAAAAAGUAUAUUUAAAARGGGUUUUAUUUCUAAAAAAUUUAGGCUUAAAAAUAGCUUAAAUUUGGAUUUUGUUACAAUUUCAUUGAAUUUUAAAAUAGAAUAAUUUAUUUGCUAUUCUUAAAUGAAAGAGGACUUUUAAAAUCAUCAAAGUUAAAUUUAUGUUAAAAUGAGGUAUUAAUUAAGUAUAUAUUAAUUUUUAAGUAUAUUUAUAUUAAAAUUACUUCAUUUCUUCUUAACAGAAAUUAUUAAAAAGGAACUCGGCAAAAUUAUAUUCUGCCUGUUUAGCAAAAACAUGGCUCCUUGUCAAAUUUAAAUAAGGAGUCGGAACCUGCCCAGUGAAAGUUUUUUUAACGGCCGCAGUACUUUGACUGUGCAAAGGUAGCAUAAUCAUUUGCCUUAUAAUUGAAGGCUAGUAUGAAUGGUUUGACAAGAAUAUAACUGUCUCUUUAUAAUUUAAUAGAAUUUUUUUUAUAAGUGAAGAAACUUAUAUCAAAUUAAUAGACAAGAAGACCCUAUCGAGCUUUAAAAAAUUUGAAAGAGUAGAUUAUUUAUAAUUUUAAAAAAUUUACUUUCAAGAAUUUUAGUUGGGGCGACUGAGGAACAAAAAGAGCUUCCUUUUUUUAAAAAACAGACAAGUAUUGAUCCAAGAAUAUUUUGAUUAAAGGAAUUAGUUACCGUAGGGAUAACAGCAUUAUCUUUUUUGAGAGCACUUUAUCGAAAAAAAGGUUUGUGACCUCGAUGUUGGACCAGAAUAACCUAAAGAUGCAGCAGUCUUUAAGGGUUGGUCUGUUCGACCAUUAAAAUUCUACGUGAUCUGAGUUCAGACCGGCGUGAGCCAGGUCAGUUUCUAUCUUUA